This is a long non-coding RNA of Phasianus colchicus (ring-necked pheasant), 1104 nucleotides long. RefSeq lists it as uncharacterized. The record is from RefSeq and is a predicted model, not a curated record. NCBI's taxonomy places the organism in Eukaryota, Metazoa, Chordata, Aves, Galliformes, Phasianidae.
UAAGAGUGAAGGAACUUUUUCUGGAGAUUCCUCUGUUUGGAGUUUUCCAGUAAGCCUAGGAUAAGGGGUGGGCUUGCUUGUUCUGGUACCAGUUAAACACUUAUUUUAUUCGAGUGAUUACUGAGGAGCUCCCCUUUAUCCCAGCUCUGUUGGGUCUGGCUGCAGGUUCCCUGGAAUAUGGCCUGGAGCUCUGAACCACUAUCAAAGAAGUGGAAAGGACCAUAUAAAAUACUACUACAAUGCACACCUGCUAUCAAGGUGGAAGGAGUAGACUCUUACACAAGAACAAAGAAAGCUUCCAACCCACAGUGAAAGCUAGUAAACUUUAGAGGGAGAAAACUAGAUGGAAAUUAAGUACCUGGAGCACCUUUAUCUAGAGAAGAAGAAAGUUUGACUCAGAUUCUCCUGUUUGCUGCUUUGUGUGAUCUUCUCUUCAGUCAUAUUCCUGCAGUAUGUUCACAUAACAAAAGAACUUCUCAUAUUAAUGGGCAGAUGAUACAAGAAGAAAGCAAAAAGAGAAUUGAAGUACUUAAAUUUCACAUCCUCAUCUUCAAGUUAUUCUUUGCUGGUCCACCCAAACCUCCUGAAUUCUAUGGAAGCUUCAGCUGUGUUUGUUAAGUAUUGAAAUUAAAAAAAAAAAAAAAAAGGCAGCAGUUGCCCCAUUAAUUAAGAAUAAUUUUUGGUGAAAUGCAACAUAAAACAUGGCAGCUAUGGUGUGGCUUUAAAUUGAUUUCAUUAUCUCUUUGUAUUCUCAUCCAGCACAGUUAGGAGCUUUCUGAAAUAAGUGAUAGAGACUAAUGUUGAAUAAGAGGCUAAAAUUGCUGUUACAUUGAAAUCAAUGGGAGUUUUUGCAUUUCUUAUUUGUAUAUAUUUUUUCCCCAGCAAUGUGAGAAAUUCAGAACGGAAUAAAAAAAGUACUUCAGGUUAAGGCUCUCCAGACCUGCAGCUUUUUCUGGUCAAUUUGCAUGGAAACAAAAAGAAUUAUGGUAUGUGACAGAUCUGAGUGAACCACUGGAUAGUAAUGUCUGUAGAACUUCUGAAUUCCAGCCCCAGUAAUUCUAACACUUACAUUAAUCUAACUGUUGUGGUAUUAUUCAAUGCAGA